This is a long non-coding RNA of Oreochromis aureus, 1670 nucleotides long. NCBI's taxonomy places the organism in Eukaryota, Metazoa, Chordata, Actinopteri, Cichliformes, Cichlidae. The record is from Ensembl.
AGUGUCUCAUUCACUGAAAUGAACACGGCCAUUUUAGAAACCCAGCAAAGAUGGAAAUGGCUACAAAAAACAACGCCACGGUCCCCGGGUCUGACGCAAAGCCACAGACUGAGCAGCAGAAUCAUCUCCUUGCCUCACCUGCCUGCCUUCCUGCCCUUACACCACCACGGGAUCUUCACCGCUCAGGACAGCUGACACACACCACCAAACCCACCCGGACCGCACCAACUCUCCUUCAACGCUUCCAUCUCCCACCUGCACAUGAGACGGGAGAGGAGCGGAGGGGAAGCUGGGAUCAGCUGAGACCGGAGCUGUCCAGACUACGGACUGUCACAACAAAUGAAAACUAAAAAUAAAGGUGGCAUCUGGCAAUAAAGAACUGUGCGUGAAGUGCAUCUCACAAGUGGUGCCGGAACCCUGUCUGCGUGGGGAUGUCUGACCCACAUGCUGCGCCGCCCGCCCAGCCUUUGCAGUUCCUGGCGCAAAUGCUGGCGGAGAUGGCGAAGAUGUGCCAAGACCAGGUGGCUGCCCAGCGCGAUCACCUGGCAAAGCUGCAGGAGCAGGCGGACCGGCAGACCCAGGUUCUGGAGCGGCUGGUUGGAGCCGCUGUGCCGCCGAAGGCCCCUCCACUGUUGGUGACGAUGCCCCGGAUGGGCGACGGGGACGACCCCCAGGUUUUUCUGGAGACUUUUCACGCCAUGGCUGAGGCCUGCCAGUGGCCGCAGGUGGAGUGGGCUCCGCGUUUGCUUCCUCUGCUGUCGGGGGAGGCUCAGAUGGCGGCUCUUUGAGGACGUGAGCCGGGCGGUGUUGGACAGGAUGGGAUUCGCCCCUGAGGAUCAUUGCCGCCAGUUCCGGGCCUGUCGGCUGACCGCAGAGGAUCGGCCGUUUGCUUGGGCCCAGAAGCUGCACGACGCGGCGGUGCGCUGGCUGCAGCCAGGAUCAUCAGAGGGAGAGACGCUGCUGGUGGACAAGGUGGUGCUGGAGCAGUUCGUGGAGGGGCUGCCUGUGGAGACAGCGAGAGAGUCUGGAGGUCGCGGUAACAUUGGCGGAGGACCAUCUCGCCGCCAGAGCGGGGGAGCCCGGGGAAGGGAUCAUAAAUGAGCAGUGCCGCCCCUGAGCCACGGAGAGCGGCACAAACGCCAGGGCAGGAGUGCUGGAAGUGCAGGCAACCGGGACACCUGAGGAGGGACUGUCCUCUGAUGGAAGUGGGGCAGAUGUUCCGCGUCGCCGGUGCCCCAGCACUCUCUCCCGGUCCAGGAGGGACGUACAGCAUUCCGACUGACACCUCGAACAGAGGGCUGGGGGCCGUUUUGUCCCAGCAGGUAAAGGGGGCCAACUGUCCCGUUCUUUACAUCAGCCGGAAGCUGAGAGAGCGUGAAAGAUGGUACAGCACCGUGGAGAAGGAGUGCUUGGCUAUCCGUUAGACGGGAGAGCAGCGGAGGGGAAGCUGGGAUCACCUGAGACCGGAGCUGUCCAGACUACGGACUGUCACAACAAAUGAAAACUAAAAAUAAACGUGGCAUCUCGCAAUAAAGAACUGUGUGUGUACGUGUGUGAAGUGCAUCUCACACACAUGAAGCUGAUCGCUGUUCGUAGCUGAAGGACUGACGCUUUCCUCCUCUAGGCUUUACCUCCACUAAGGCACUAACCGCUGUCACAUCUCCAGUGUC